This 253-nucleotide ribosomal RNA is filed under the name uncultured bacterium. Its description in RNAcentral is "partial 16S ribosomal RNA". It matches the Rfam family "Bacterial small subunit ribosomal RNA", at positions 524 to 776 of the family's 1533-position model. The record is from RNAcentral.
UACGGGGGGGGCAAGCGUUGUUCGGAAUUACUGGGCGUAAAGGGUGCGUAGGCGGUUCGUUAAGUUAGAUGUGAAAACUCUGGGCUCAACCCAGAGCCUGCAUCUAAUACUGACGGGCUAGAGUUCUGGAGGGGGUAGCGGAAUUCCUGGUGUAGCGGUGAAAUGCGUAGAUAUCAGGAGGAACACCGGUGGCGAAGGCGGCAUCCUGGACCAACACUGACACUGAGGAGCGAAAGCCAGGGGAGCAAACGGG